Molecule: RNA transcript, 4428 nt
Organism: Mangifera indica (mango)
Lineage: Eukaryota; Viridiplantae; Streptophyta; Magnoliopsida; Sapindales; Anacardiaceae
Exons: 10
Source: RefSeq, a predicted model, not a curated record
UCUCUCUCUCUCUUUCCGUCUCGAUAACAACAAAAAAACAGAGGCAAUAAAUAAACAGAAAAAAAAGCUCACUGUUUGGUUCAGUUUUGUUUUAAGCACAAAUAGAGAGAUAAAGACAAAUAAACAAAGAAGGAAAACACAAGCGAAAAAGCAUUCACAGAUACACACACCUCAAGCAACUCGAACCACUCCACUUCUAUACGCCUUCACCGCAGCACAGCCGACGUCGCUCUGCAGCCGCCUCUUCCACCAUGUGUGGGUUGAUCAUGUGGCAGUAUGCGGUGUCCUCCAUUGCUUUUGGACAUUGAAGAUUAUUUUUAUUUGUUUCUUGAUCGGACAUUGAGACUAGUGCUCUUCUUGAGUUCAAAAUGUCAAGCAACAGAGUUUUUUUAACAUACAACAGAAGGAGGGUAUCAUCAAGAACUGGUCUUGGCCAUGGAAAUGGCUGUUGGGAUUUACUGUCAAAGGGUUUGAGUGACACUUUGAUGACUGCACCAGACAAGCAUGAUGCACCAAGUGACAAAUGCCAUAGAAGUAGUUGUAGCAAUUCAAUCUCUAAUGGUUUAAGUGACACUUUGAUGACUGCAUCUGAGAAAGAUGAUGCACCAAGUGCCAAGCAUGUACAAGUAGCUCAAAAAACAAAUUCAGUGCAGACUUCUCUCGAGUGUGUUGUAUGUGGUACCGGAGACAACUUAUUCCAAUGUGAUGACUGCCAUCUAAGUUAUCAUCUUCGAUGUCUUGUUCAGUCCAAGAAGCAUAUCCGUCUUGGGAAAAGGCUAUGCUCUGAAUGUUUUAUAAAAAAAUCUCAGCCAGUCCGUAAAUCUAUCAGACUGAAGGCAAGGGAGCACUGUCAAGGAUCUGAUGUGCUACAAAUAACUGUUAAGUCUAAGAGUCCUGGUGAGGUUCCUUCAGAGACUGACACUGGUGAAUGGUCUUCUGUGGAUAUCUCAGCCAAAAACAAGUCAACUGACUUUCAAGGCGGUUCAUGUCCCAAUGCAAACUUUUCUUCUGCAAGUGAUAAUGCAUGCUCUGAAAGUAGAUUAAUUUCUCAGUCAAUGGGGAUGGAAACUGCACAGAGGCUAAAUUUUAUUGGUUCAAAAUCAGCUGAUGAAAGCAAAUAUAGCUUGCCUUGUCAUGAGGGUUCUCCCUUGUCAAAAACAUUAAAAUUGGGAAUCUCCACGGAUGACUUUACCAACUUAUCUGGUGAUUUACUUGUUCGUAGCAAACUGGCCACGCCGUUGAUUACUUUUAGCCGAAAAAAUAAAAGGAAAAAAGAUUUAGAUCAGGCUGAUGCACUGAGGGAUUCAUCUCCUGUGGAGAAUAAUUGUUCAUUGCUAGCCAGGUGGAGUAAUUCUACUCAUGUUAAUAACUCUUCGGCGAUAUCUCAUAAAGGCGGGUCAAUGGAUCAUUCAGGACAUACGGAGCUACAAGGGAAAGAUCCAGAUGGUGGGCAUCUUUGUUGCAAUGAAGAUAAAAUGAGCGAAGUUCAAUCUGUAGAUGUUGGUGCAAGACCUUUCUUGGAAACUAGGAACUGUUUGACAUGUGAGGAUAAGCAAUCACAUGAUGGCAAGAGCGUAUCCGAGGAUGAUUCACUUGCUUCUGUGCAAGAACCAUUCCAAAGUUGCAAAGUCCCUGUGGAUGUUCAGAUAAACUCUGUAAAUAAAACAGUCAAAGAUUCUUCCUCUAAUGGCCUAACUGAAGAUAAAACAUCGGAGGACCAGGAAUUUCAGGCAUGUGCUGGAGAUGAAUCUCAGGUCUUGUCCAGUGAUGGGGUGAAGCCAACAAAAGUUCCUGAAUGUUCAAGAGAAGAAUUACUACCUUGUUUGAACCAUUCUGUUAAUUGCCUUGACUCAUGUUGUGCAAUGGGCUAUUCUAUUGACAUCAAUUCAAGUCCACAAAAGCAACCUCCUAAUUCUGCACCAGUGACUCUUUUGGACUCAUUAGAUUCGUCAAGCAGAAGUCAUACCACUUUAUCACAUGAAGUGUCUCCUUCAGAAUUAAUGGAUGCAAUAAAUGAGAGGGGUGGGAAAUCUCCAUUGGUGCACAACACAAGUGUACCUGCCGAGACAUUGAUGCUUGUGGACGAUGUUGGUGCCAACUGCAGAAAUAAUCCUGGGUGCUCUGUGGACAUUGCAUCAAAAACCAAAUGCCUACCGUUAUUUUUGGAUGAGAAAAGCAAUGAUGUUAUGGCAAUUACAAGAGCUGAGACAAGUGCAUACAUGGUUUCAGAGGAAAGAAAUGCAUUCCAUUUAGCCGGAGAAAUUAAUAAGCUGAAUCCAACUUCAACCAGAUCUUCAUGCUUCUUAGAUUUAUCCUUGCCAAUAGACCCUAAUUUUGGUGGAUACUCCUCCAAGAAUUUCUCCUCUACAUUGCCAUUGCUAAACUGUAGAGAUGAGUUUAAAGAUUUUAUCCAUGGUGAUGUUAACCGAGCCCCAUUUAACCAAACAUCCAAGCAGAGGCACAAGAUGGUGCUUGACAGCAUCAUGAAUCGAGCAAGAGCUUUAAAUGGAAGAGGCAAUUAUCAAGACCAAUUCAAGCCGUACACUAACAUGUGGUCUGAGACGGAGUUGGAUUUUCUCUGGAUUGGUGUCAGGAGACAUGGAAGGGACAAUUGGGAUGCCAUAUUAGGAGAUCCUAGAUUGCAGUUCUCUCCAUGGAGGGUAGCUGCAGACCUUGCUGAGAGGUGGGAGGAGGAACAAUUUAAACUUUUGAAUGGCAUGCCUGUUUUACAAUGCAAAUAUUCAAAAGCACAGGGUGUUUCUUUGGACUCUAAUGAUGCCUUCUUGCAUCCCACAAGAAGAUGCCAGAGAGAAAAUAUGAUUGAUAAAACCCGACUUUCACUCGGUGGUGUGUAUGCUCAUAGAGAUGGCAGUAUCUCAAAGAGACCAUGUUUUGACUUCGCAAACAUUGAAAGCAGUGGCACUGAUCUACUUCAUGGUCCUAUUGCUUACCAAAGGAGGGGUCGUUAUUCAGAUUUUCAUGGGGAAGUAUUUGAUUGGAGUUCGUGUAAUUAUUUCAGAAGCAAGAAUUUGCCUAUGUGUGAUCCAUUAUGGAGCAAAGACCACCCUCUUACUAACUCAAUUGCAAAGGGUGAUAUGCCCCACUGGCUUAGAGAAGCUGUAACUGGUCCACAUGAAAACCCAGCUGUGCCAAUUAUUCCUCCAGCUGGUUCAUCUGUUGCUCAGUCUGGGGCAUUGCAGAUUAGUCAACCUAAUAUUGAUCCUAGUGACCCACACUUCAGGCCCAGGAACAGAGCCCACAGCGAUUUUACUGGUUUAAGAUCAAGUGCUCUACAGCCAUCCACAAGUGCUUAUCACAACUACCCCGGAAUAAGACUUGGAAUUGAUGAGCGAAGUAAAACUUCUUUGUAUAAUACCAAUAAACCAAAUGACCUGAUCAUCAUUGAGAGUGAUGCAUCUUCUGAAGAGACCAUAUCUGAUGAUCAUACUUCAAGGCCCUAAGGUUUGCACUGAAGCUUUUGCGAGCGAAGUUUCUUCAGCACUGUGCGCAUAUGCAUUCUGAUCACCAUCUCUCAAUGGCUGAGGCUCUUGGUAGAUUUCUAUGCAUCUCUGAGAUCUUCUCAGUCCUUUGAGCUCCACCGCCACCUCUUUCAUGGAGCUGGUUCUCCUUCGCUAACGUGAUAAAGUAUGCAAUUGGGCUCCUCUCUUCUAUGUCUAUGGCGAACAAGAAAGGUUUUUUGCCGGUUAAAAGCUCUAUGAGUGCAACCCCAAAGCUAUACAUAUUGCCUUUCUCUGUGAAUUGAUUAGGUUGGUAGUACUCCAGAUCCAGGUAUCCAAAGGUUCUGUGGACUGCUGUGGUCAAGUGUGUUUUAUCAUCAGGAAUAGAUGUUGAAGUUCUGAAAUUGGAAACUCGUGCACUAUACUUUUCAUCAAGGAGUAUAUUUGCUGAUUUGAUGUCAUGAAGAAUGAUGGGGAUCGAGGCUGCAGAAUGCAUAUAAGCUACUGCUCUGGCAACUUCACAAGAGAUUCUGAGCCGAUGCACCCAUGAAAGCGAAGACUUGUGUUCUUGGGGGUGAUCAUGAAUAUGAUGGGAGAGCGUUCUAUUAACGAUGAACUUGUAUAUCAGUAUUGGUACCUUAGUCUCCAAACAACCCAGAGGCUUCACAAUGUUUCUAUGAUGGAUUUGCGAUAGAAUGAUAACUUCAUUUAUGAAUUGCACAAUCUGGCUUUUAUUAACUGCAUUUGGUUUCUUCACAGCAAUGAUACUGCCAUCAGGUAACAUUCCUUUGUACACAGUGCUGUAUCCUCCCUCGCCGAGAACCUGGCUCUGGUUGUAAACUUGUAAUUGUCUGUUGCUUUUUGAAGCUCCUGUGCUGUCAAUGUUUUGGCAUGUUCACUUCUUCCAUGGGAGGACAAUCUUUUUUGUAGCAAGAAUCCACCAUUUUGCCUGAAGAAUUUGUCUUUCCUA